CGCCGGGGUGAGGCCGCUGUUGUCGCCAAGGCUGGUUGGGUCUGUGACUGUGGGAGGCGCCGGGGUGAUGGCGGUGGAGACUCUGUCCCCGGACUGGGAGUUCGACCGCGUUGAUGAUGGCUCACAGAAAAUUCAUGCUGAAGUCCAGCUUAAGAAUUAUGGAAAAUUUCUUGACGAGUAUACUUCUCAAUUGCGAAGAAUUGAGGAUGCACUGGAUGAUUCAAUCGGAGAUGUUUGGGAUUUCAAUUUUGAUCCUAUAGCAUUAAAGCUUUUGCCUUAUGAACAGUCUUCCCUUUUGGAACUCAUAAAGACUGAAAACAAGGUCUUAAACAAAGUCAUCACUGUUUAUGCUGCACUUUGUUGUGAGAUCAAGAAAUUAAAAUAUGAGGCUGAAACUAAAUUUUAUAAUGGUCUCUUGUUUUAUGGAGAAGGAGCUACAGAUUCCAGCAUGGUAGAAGGUGAUUGCCAGAUUCAGAUGGGGAGAUUUAUUUCAUUCUUACAGGAACUGUCUUGUUUUGUUACGAGGUGCUAUGAAGUGGUGAUGAAUGUCGUCCAUCAGUUGGCUGCCCUCUAUAUCAGUAACAAGAUUGCACCCAAAAUUAUAGAGACAACUGGAGUCCAUUUUCAGACUAUGUAUGAGCACUUGGGAGAGCUGCUAACAGUUUUGCUUACCUUGGAUGAAAUUAUUGAUAAUCAUAUCACAUUGAAAGACCACUGGACUAUGUACAAAAGGUUACUGAAAUCUGUCCAUCACAAUCCUUCAAAAUUUGGAAUUCAGGAAGAAAAACUAAAGCCAUUUGAAAAGUUCUUGUUGAAGCUAGAGGGACAGUUACUUGAUGGAAUGAUAUUUCAGGCCUGUAUAGAACAGCAGUUUGAUUCUCUCAAUGGAGGAGUAUCUGUGUCAAAAAACAGCACUUUUGCUGAAGAAUUUGCACAUAGUAUUCGUUCAAUUUUUGCAAAUGUAGAAGCCAGACUUGGAGAACCUUCUGAAAUUGACCAGAGAGACAAGUAUGUAGGAGUUUGUGGACUCUUUGUAUUGCACUUUCAAAUUUUCCGAACUGUUGAUAAAAAGUUUUAUAAGUCUUUAUUGGACAUUUGUAAGAAGGUACCAGCCAUCACUCUGACUGCUAAUAUUAUUUGGUUUCCUGAUAAUUUUUUGAUCCAGAAAAUACCAGCAGCUGCCAAACUUCUGGACAGAAAAAGUCUUCAAGCCAUUAAAAUAUACAGAGAUACCUUCCUACAGCAGAAAGCUCAGUCACUUACCAAAGAUGUACAGUCUUACUACGUCUUUGUGAGCUCAUGGAUGAUGAAAAUGGAAUCUAUUUUAUCUAAAGAGCAGAGAAUGGAUAAAUUUGCUGAAGAUCUGACCAACAGAUGUAAUGUUUUUAUACAGGGCUUUUUAUAUGCAUAUAGUAUUAGUACCAUUAUUAAAACCACAAUGAAUCUCUACAUGUCCAUGCAAAAGCCAAUGACCAAAACAUCAGUUAAGGCAUUAUGCAGGCUCGUUGAACUUCUCAAGGCUAUAGAGCAUAUGUUCUACAGGAGAAGCAUGGUUGUGGCUGAUUCAGUCUCACAUAUAACACAGCACCUUCAGCAUCAGGCUCUUAAUUCUAUUUCUGUGGCCAAGAAAAGAGUAAUUUCUGACAAAAAAUAUAGUGAACAGCGUCUUGAUGUGCUCUCUGCUCUAGUUUUGGCUGAAAACACUCUAAAUGGACCAAGCACAAAGCAACGACGACUUAUUGUUUCUUUGGCACUAAGUGUUGGCACACAAAUGAAAACAUUUAAAGAUGAAGAACUCUUUCCACUUCAAGUAGUCAUGAAAAAGCUGAAUCUUAUCAGUGAACUUAGAGAAAGAGUCCAAACACAAUGUGACUGUUGUUUUUUAUACUGGCAUCGAGCUGUCUUCCCGAUUUAUUUAGAUGAUGUAUAUGAAAAUGCUGUUGAUGCAGCCAGAUUACAUUACAUGUUCAGUGCUUUACGUGACUGUGUACCCGCUAUGAUGCAUGCAAGGCAUUUAGAGUCCUAUGAAAUACUUCUGGAUUGCUAUGACAAGGAAAUUAUGGAAAUUUUAAAUGAGCAUUUGCUGGACAAGUUGUGCAAAGAAAUAGAGAAGGACCUGCGACUUUCCGUACAUACUCAUUUAAAGCUGGAUGACAGAAACCCUUUCAAAGUUGGCAUGAAAGACCUGGCCCUUUUUUUCUCUCUGAACCCAAUUCGGUUUUUCAAUCGUUUCAUUGACAUUCGAGCUUAUGUAACUCACUACCUAGACAAGACCUUCUACAACCUAACAACAGUAGCUCUUCAUGACUGGGCCACUUAUAGUGAAAUGAGAAAUUUAGCUACUCAGCGUUAUGGAUUGGUUAUGACAGAGGCACAUCUUCCUAGUCAGACUUUGGAACAGGGCCUGGAUGUCUUGGAAAUUAUGAGAAACAUUCACAUAUUUGUGUCUCGAUACCUCUAUAAUCUCAACAAUCAAAUUUUUAUUGAACGAACAAGCAAUAACAAACAUUUGAACACUAUUAAUAUUCGACAUAUUGCUAAUUCAAUUCGAACACAUGGCACGGGAAUCAUGAAUACAACAGUUAAUUUCACCUACCAGUUUUUGAAAAAGAAGUUCUAUAUAUUUAGCCAAUUUAUGUAUGAUGAACAUAUCAAAUCCAGAUUGAUUAAAGAUAUUCGGUUUUUCAGGGAAAUCAAGGACCAAAAUGAUCAUAAGUAUCCUUUUGAAAGAGCAGAAAAAUUCAAUCGAGGCAUCAGAAAACUUGGGAUAACCCCAGAGGGACAAAGCUACCUUGAUCAGUUCAGGCAACUCAUCAGCCAAAUUGGUAAUGCUAUGGGCUAUGUACGAAUGAUAAGAUCUGGUGGCCUUCAUUGUAGCAGCAAUGCCAUUAGAUUUGUACCUGAUCUUGAAGAUAUUGUAAAUUUUGAAGAACUAGUAAAAGAAGAAGGUCUUGCAGAAGAAACAUUAAAAGCAGCAAGGCAUUUGGAUUCAGUCCUCAGUGAUCACACACGAAAUUCUGCCGAAGGCACAGAGUAUUUCAAGAUGCUUGUGGAUGUGUUUGCUCCAGAAUUUCGAAGGCCAAAGAAUAUACAUCUCCGAAAUUUCUAUAUUAUUGUUCCACCUCUGACCCUCAACUUUGUAGAGCAUUCCAUUAGUUGCAAGGAGAAAUUGAAUAAAAAAAAUAAAAUUGGAGCUGCCUUUACUGAUGAUGGCUUUGCCAUGGGUGUGGCUUACAUUCUAAAGCUUUUGGAUCAGUACCAGGAAUUUGACUCACUUCACUGGUUCCAGUCUGUAAGAGAGAAGUACCUGAAGGAGAUAAGAGCAGUUGCUAAGCAACAGAAUGUGCAGUCAACUAGUCAGGAUGAAAAACUACUACAAACCAUGAAUCUCACUCAGAAGCGACUGGAAGUUUAUCUACAGGAAUUUGAAUUGCUCUAUUUCUCACUGAGCAGUGCAAGAAUUUUCUUCAGAGCUGACAAGACUGCAGCUGAAGAAAACCAAGAAAAGAAAGAGAAGGAAGAAGAGACUAAAACAAGCAACGGAGACUUGUCUGACAGCACUGUGUCUGCAGAUCCUGUUGUCAAAUGAUACUGAUGGUAUGCGUUGCCCCUAUGAAAUCAUCAGAAUUGUAUGUGAAAUGGGUGUUAAUAAGCUAAUAACCAAGUGUUUCCUGGGUCGCAUCUCUGGGAAAUAUUUAGAUGCUGCAACUCUCUAUGGCAGUGCUGUAAAAGUUAAGUCCAUUCUUCUGAAGGCUCUACUUUUCGAAGGCUGAGAAUGAGAUUUUAAAAUCAGAUUUUUGUCUGGACUUUAGCCUAGGUGUGCCUGGGAACAGUUAUUUGAAAUGAAGUUUUAAAAAGGUUAACCUAGAUUCCUAUGCUGCCACCUCAGAUCUCUUGUAAUCUACAUGAAUGUUUAUAAUUUGUAUUUGCAUAGGUCUUUGAUCCAUAUUUGUCUCAGUCAUUGGAAAUUCAGUGCAUAUACUAUGUACAGCCAGUAAAUAUGUUUAAACAAAAGGAAUUGAGCCUGAAAUUCAUGAAGCAUACAUAUCAAUAUGCUUAUAAAAGGGAUAUAUGAAGAUGGUUUUGAUACUAGAGGUGAGGCACAAGUAUCAUGUACCCUUUAUGUACAGUGUGAACUGAUUCAUUGUUAAUUUCAUGUGACUCACAAGAGCUGCUGCUGUGUGUGGUGAGACAUUUUAUAACUAGUUUACAUUGCUUUGAGAACAUUUAACCUCCAACAGCUGCUUUAAAUUUAAGAUUUACUUAGUACUCAAGGUGGAGGAAAAUACAGAUAAAGCCAUAGAGUCCUGCUUGAAGCUUUACUUUUGGCUGAAGGCACUAUGUAUGAUAUCAGAGAAGAUUGAAUGAAUUCUUAUUUCUACAUCCAAACUCAGGUUUCUUCUACAUUAGGUUGAAUUGAAGUCUUGGUGGUGAUUUGGGCAGACUUUUUCUUUAAACCAAGUAUAAUCUAAGAAAUCAGAUUAAGCACUGUGCAGGCUUUUAAAAAAUUACCACUGUGAGAAUAAAGUUCUAAUAAACGAAAUCACUUACUGAUUUAAAAAGUACAAAAUGGUUUUGAAUAAAUAUAGUUCCUGGCAAGCUAUUAGCUUUAUUUUUGUAAAGAUUAUGUCAGUUAAUUAAAUGGUUAGUCAUAGCCUAUAAUCUUUUACUAUAAUACAAUGAUACAUUUACAGUGAAAACAAGAAAGUUUAAAACUUUAUAUGUAAUACUAACAUCAUUUUAGGAAAUACUUGAUUUUUUCAUUGCACUUGCCUAUUAAGCAUUUCUUUGGGUAAAUCCUGCUAGUAAUUCUAACAUUGUUGUUUGAUUUCCAGCUUUUGGAACGGGUGUACAAUGCCCUGUCUGUAUUCAUUGAUCACAGUCAGGGUAACUUUCCCAGCUCAAGAUAAACACUUUCACUGUUAAAAUUCAGAAGAAACAGAAUAGGUGGGUCUCCUUGCACCUCUACAAAAAACCCUGAAUUGCGUUACUUCUUCCAGAAACUGGGCCAAGGUUCUACCUCUCAGCCAAUAUAUUAUUUACAUAGCCAAUUCAGAAUCAUCUUUCUGGAAAGAGUCCAGAGAGGAACUUCCUUCACAACCUUGACCUUUGUCUUUAAACCCCUUUUUUUCCUUUUACUCUAUACCAUGAAUUGGCAAACUGUGGCCAUUUGGCUUACCACUUGUUUUUGUAAGUAAAGUUUUGCUGGAACAGAGCCAUGUCAAUUCAUUUACUUACUAUGGAAGCUUUUGUGUUAUAACAGCAGAGCUGAGUUGUUGGCGACAGAGAUGGUAAGCCUGAAAAGGCUCAUUAUCUGGCCCUUUACAGAAAGUUUGCCAACUCCUGAUCUACACCAAAAAAUAUAAACUUAACAGUGCAUGCUAUUUUUCCAUUAUGUUGGCUUAGUCCUUGAUCUGCCUGCCCCUCUCUGAUAGAUUAGAAUUGCACAAGUAUGACACCCACUAGCUAUUCAAUACGUUACUAUUUACAUUAAUUUUAAAAAUACAGUUCCUCAGUCAUACUAGCCACAUUCAAUCUGCAUAUUAAAUAGCACAUUAAAUAGAUCAUUUCCAUUAUUGCAGAAAGUUUUGCUGGACAGUGCUGAACUAGAACUAGCCCCCUGCUCAUUGCUGUAACUCCAGGAUUUUUCUUAUAUAAAAUUUGCUCUCAGAAGUCAGUUUGAUAAAUGAAGGAUUGCAGACUGCUGACAGAAAUAUCUGAGUCUUCACUUCCAAUAAGUUUCCAAGUAACAUCUCAGUGUUGCUGGGCCUGUGACCUCUCUGAGGAGUAAAGCCUUAGAGCACAUGGUAGAUACUGAGGUUUGUACCAUCUUAAUUUGAAAGAAAGGAAAUCUGGCCGACAACAAGAACAAGCAAAAACACUGAUAAAAGAGCAGAAGUUGGGACUUCCUAGGUGGCGCACUGGGUAAGAAUCUGCCUGCCAAUGCAGGGCACAUGGGUUCGAUCCCAGCCCCAGGAAGAUAACGCAUACCGCGGAGAAACUAAGCCCGUGUGCCACAACUAUUGAGCCUGCGCUCUAGAGCCCGUGAGCCACAACUAUUGAGCCCAUGUGCCGCAACUACUGAAGCCCACGUGCCUAGAGCUUGUGCUCUGCAACAAGAGAGGCCACUGCAAUGAGAAGCCCACGCACCACAAAAUGAAGAGUAGCCCCCACUCACUGCAACUAGAGAAAGCCCAUGUGCAGCAACGAAGACUCAACACAGCCAAUAAAAUAAAUAAAUAAAUAAAAUGUAUUAAAAAAAAAAAAGCUAGGGGUGUUUCUUUUAAAAAAAAAAAAAAGAGCAGAAGUUGCAGCAGUGAUAUUUAUUAAGAACUCCACAUGUUACCAGUGACCAUGGAACCAGCUGAUCAAAAAUGCCUGAUAGUUAGAAGGCUUAAAAGGAGAUCCCAAACUUGGCCACCCUGCCUAGUGAGCAUCAUUUCUCUUUUUGAAAGAAAUCUAAGUGUAUAGAUAGCUUUUGAGUUGUUGUUAAACCAGCACUAAGAUGCACCUUACCUUCUGAACCUCAAUGAUUUCUUUUCCCAAAUUAAUAGCAUAACAUAUCUGCAAGAGACAAGAAAGGUAGUGUUUGGCAAAGGCAGAAAAGGAUAAAGAAUUUUAGAAAAAAAAUGUGAUUAUCAAAGUACAAGGUCACUGUCUGCUCACGUCAGCAUGGGGACAGAGGACCUGGCUGUAGGAGACUCAUCACAGGGGGCUCUGAACAUGAGCGUCCACCUGUCCUGGCCUCCUGCUGCCAGUUUGUACAUACAAAAAAUAUCCAGGUUAAGUGAAAACUGAAGUUAUUAAAUCGUUUAAAAUUCUUACCGGGAUACUUUUUUCCUUUCUCUCUUAACCAUAUUUAGCCACUGCAUGUUCAUACACACAGUGGUAAACAGGUACUUCCUGAAAGAAGGGUUGAUUCAUUUUCAUUAAUUCUAAGUAGUGAAUGAAGUUUUUCAUACUAAAGAAGAGAACAGCUUAAAUGUACUUUCCAGACAUCUGCCUCCUUGGUUUGCUCUCUGAGAAGAGAUUUUCUGCAACUUCUGCUUUAAUUUUUUAAAAAAGAACAAAUUUGAGGGGAACUGCUUUGAACAUUUCUCGAUAUCUCUACUAAACAAUUACAUUUCACCAUUAAAGUUCUUCAUUUGCUCUAUUUUGGUUGAAAUGUAUUUUCCAUAAGGAAAUUAUACUCCAGUCCGUUUACUUUCAGUGGAACCUUCCUGGGAGGUAUUAUUAUCUAAACUCAAUGGGGACCUAAAGAAUAGUCAACUAAAUAUCCAGGGGGGUUGUGCAAAAUAACCCUUCAGAUAUCUUUGGGCUGAAAUAUUAUGGAAUCUUAAGGUGAAGAAAAUAACAAGACCUUUUCG
RNA transcript from Hippopotamus amphibius kiboko, 7367 nucleotides. It is a transcript of the gene named WASH complex subunit 4, with no coding region annotated. The record is from RefSeq and is a predicted model, not a curated record. The transcript is spliced from 34 exons. Lineage: Eukaryota; Metazoa; Chordata; Mammalia; Artiodactyla; Hippopotamidae.